Molecule: ribosomal RNA, 637 nt
Filed under: Leodamas tribulosus
Lineage: Eukaryota; Metazoa; Annelida; Polychaeta; Orbiniidae
Description: partial 16S ribosomal RNA
Rfam family: Bacterial large subunit ribosomal RNA (bases 1-501)
Source: RNAcentral
GUGCUAAGGUAGCAUAAUCAUUUGCCUCUUAAUUGGUGGCUAGUAUGAACGGAUAAAUGAGAGCCAAGCUGUCUCUUACUCACAACUAUAAACUAACCUCUAGGCGAAAAGGCCUAAAUAAUUUUAUAGGACAAGAAGACCCUGUCAAGCUUUACUAUUAAAAUUAAUUAAAAAUAUUUAAAUAAACACUAUUAAUCAUUUAGUUUCGUUGGGGCGACUGGGGACCAAAACAAACGUCCCCCUAAUUCUCAGGAUAAUAAUCCAAAUAAAAUGAUCCUUAAAAAGACCAAGAGAUAAGCUACUGCAGGGAUAACAGACUAAUUUUCCCUAAGAGCCCAAAUCGAAGGGAAAGUUUGGCACCUCGAUGUUGGCUUAAGACAACCAUAAAGUGCAGCAGCUUUACACGGUAGGUUUGUUCAACCUUUAAAGUCUUACAUGAGCUGAGUUCAGACCGGCGUAAGCCAGGUCAGAUUCUAUCCAUAAAAUAAACACCUUUCCCCGUUUAAUUGUACGAAAGGACCCUAAACGGCUAUUAAAUAGACAAUUCUAAACAAUCAGAUUCAUUCUAAAUUAAUCACUAUAUUAAACCAUGCAGGUCAGAUUCCUCAAAAGCAAAUUUGACUCCCUUCCAUCGUGA